Spinacia oleracea (spinach) is the source of this 727-nucleotide long non-coding RNA. RefSeq lists it as uncharacterized. Lineage: Eukaryota; Viridiplantae; Streptophyta; Magnoliopsida; Caryophyllales; Amaranthaceae. The record is from RefSeq and is a predicted model, not a curated record. The transcript has 2 exons.
UUUUUUUAAUAUACUUGAUAUGUUUUGUUUUAAAAAAUACUUGGUUCUUUUGUUGCAAUGCUUGACUUUUGCGCUAUUACUUUGAGUAUAUUUGGUGUUUUAUAAUUGAAAAAAUAAUCACGUUUGAUCUUUGUAGAUUCAUCCCAGUGUAUAUUUUCAAAAUAUCAAGUUAUAAUUUUAUUAUUGACAACUAAAGAUGUGAAUGAUUGAUGAUUUGCAUUGGGAAGCGUGAAAAUAGGACAAUUGCAAUUUAAAAAACACUGAGGAAGUGAAGUUGCUAUUUUAAUAAGUGAGAACUGAGAAGGGACACUGAAAAAAGAAUUCAUGAGCUUAGCAUCUCUUUUAUAUAUGGCUUUAAAUGCCAUCUCUUUUCCUUGGGGGUAAUAUUUGUUGUCUUGUAUGCAGCAUUGCAGGAAGUCUUGGUGAAUAUGGGUUUGCAGACACAGUGCUGGUCAUAUCUACCUGCGUUUUGACAGCAAGGAAGCUGCGAUGAAUGCCCAGCGUGGAAUGCAUACGAGGUGGUUUGGUCGUAGGUUGAUAUCAGCCAGCUACAUGCAACCUCAAAAAUAUGAAGCUAUGUUUGUAGAUGUUUAUACUUGAAGAUUGCAGCAACCUCAUGGAUUCUGUCCGAGCGAUAAUUAAUCUGUACUCCGUAUUUUGUAGUGGUUGGAUUUUUUUAGAUUAUCACAGUUACUUCUAUGUAAUAUUAUUGCCAUUUAGCAGUUUA